AAGCCGCUUCGGUGGUGGAUUAGUGGCGAACGGGUGAGUAACACGUGGGCAAUCUGCCCUUCACUCUGGGACAAGCCCUGGAAACGGGGUCUAAUACCGGAUAACACUCUGUCCCGCAUGGGACGGGGUUAAAAGCUCCGGCGGUGAAGGAUGAGCCCGCGGCCUAUCAGCUUGUUGGUGGGGUAAUGGCCUACCAAGGCGACGACGGGUAGCCGGCCUGAGAGGGCGACCGGCCACACUGGGACUGAGACACGGCCCAGACUCCUACGGGAGGCAGCAGUGGGGAAUAUUGCACAAUGGGCGAAAGCCUGAUGCAGCGACGCCGCGUGAGGGAUGACGGCCUUCGGGUUGUAAACCUCUUUCAGCAGGGAAGAAGCGAAAGUGACGGUACCUGCAGAAGAAGCGCCGGCUAACUACGUGCCAGCAGCCGCGGUAAUACGUAGGGCGCAAGCGUUGUCCGGAAUUAUUGGGCGUAAAGAGCUCGUAGGCGGCUUGUCACGUCGGAUGUGAAAGCCCGGGGCUUAACCCCGGGUCUGCAUUCGAUACGGGCUAGCUAGAGUGUGGUAGGGGAGAUCGGAAUUCCUGGUGUAGCGGUGAAAUGCGCAGAUAUCAGGAGGAACACCGGUGGCGAAGGCGGAUCUCUGGGCCAUUACUGACGCUGAGGAGCGAAAGCGUGGGGAGCGAACAGGAUUAGAUACCCUGGUAGUCCACGCCGUAAACGUUGGGAACUAGGUGUUGGCGACAUUCCACGUCGUCGGUGCCGCAGCUAACGCAUUAAGUUCCCCGCCUGGGGAGUACGGCCGCAAGGC
Molecule: ribosomal RNA, 809 nt
Filed under: Streptomyces pratensis
Lineage: Bacteria; Bacillati; Actinomycetota; Actinomycetes; Kitasatosporales; Streptomycetaceae
Description: bacterial SSU rRNA
Rfam family: Bacterial small subunit ribosomal RNA
Source: RNAcentral